AGUGAACGCUGGCGGUAGGCCUAACACAUGCAAGUCGAACGGCAGCACAGUAAGAGCUUGCUCUUACGGGUGGCGAGUGGCGGACGGGUGAGGAAUACAUCGGAAUCUACUUUUUCGUGGGGGAUAACGUAGGGAAACUUACGCUAAUACCGCAUACGACCUACGGUUGAAAGCAGGGGAUCUUCGGACCUUGCGCGAUUGAAUGAGCCGAUGUCGGAUUAGCUAGUUGGCGGGGUAAAGGCCCACCAAGGCGACGAUCCGUAGCUGGUCUGAGAGGAUGAUCCGCCCCACUAGCGUUGAGAGCCGUACCAGUACCGAAGGGCAGCCCAGAGUGGGACAUAGUGGAACAGGGGGCAAUAUUGGACCACGCGCGCGAGCGUGGGGCAAGGAGGCCUUGUGUUGGAAAACCGCUUUUGUGGGGAAAAAAACGCACCAGAUUAACGCCUCGUUUUUGUGACGGUACCUAAAGAAGAAGCACCGGCUAACUUCGUG
This 492-nucleotide ribosomal RNA is filed under the name uncultured bacterium. RNAcentral's name for it is "partial 16S ribosomal RNA". It matches the Rfam family "Bacterial small subunit ribosomal RNA", at positions 29 to 507 of the family's 1533-position model. The record is from RNAcentral.